RNAcentral lists this small nucleolar RNA (117 nucleotides) under Vicugna pacos (alpaca). RNAcentral's name for it is "Small nucleolar RNA SNORA25 (ENSVPAG00000017962.1)". Lineage: Eukaryota; Metazoa; Chordata; Mammalia; Artiodactyla; Camelidae. The record is from RNAcentral.
CAGUCACUUCAAAGCGGGCUUGUGGGGCUGGGAAACCAGGAGCAAUUAACACUGUGACCAAAGUUUGAUGCCAUAGGCAUCCUGUGCAGUGAAUAAAUGUCUUAAAGUUGAAAAAAA